RNAcentral lists this transfer RNA (73 nucleotides) under Stegodyphus mimosarum. It matches the Rfam family "tRNA". From Rfam's summary of the family: Transfer RNA (tRNA) molecules are approximately 80 nucleotides in length. Their secondary structure includes four short double-helical elements and three loops (D, anti-codon, and T loops). Lineage: Eukaryota; Metazoa; Arthropoda; Arachnida; Araneae; Eresidae. The record is from Rfam by way of RNAcentral.
GCCUUCGUGGUGUAGUGGUCAGCACGCUCGACGCGUAACCGAGAAAACCGUGGUUCGAUUCCCGGGGAAGGCG